GGGUGUUUAAUAACUAUGAAAACAUCAACCAUAAACAAGAAAUUUAAAAUAAUACGACAAACCUGAAAGCUGUUAAAAUAGUAAUUGUCUUAAAUAAAUAUAACACUGAUGUACAAAGACCCUAAAUCAGUCCAAAGAGAUAGUAAAACAAAGGCAAGAUGAGAGCACCCUUUGCAGAUGAAACGCCCGUCACGCCCACAAUCAGCUUAAAGAUGCCAUAGUAAAAGGCAAGCUGGAGCACCACAUGGAGGCCCAAAAGACUGCAAAACAAAACAGAACGAUUUUUGGGCGAUUCCUUGCUCAGAUAUUGACGCACGCCUUGAAUGGUGUUGGCGAAAUAUUCAUCCCAUGUCAGUUCUCCAAUAUCGAUGCCGAACUUCUUUUUGUCCGCAAUGUCCAUGGAUUUUGACAGGGCCAGAAGACGUUUGCUAUCGAAAUGCCACUCGGUGAAUAUGAACCGCUCCAAGGUAUUCAACGAAUUCCAAACGUUUUUAUGAAGUCGCAUCAAGCUGGGAAAAAAAGAAAUUUGAAAAGAUUUUCAAAAUUGACAUCUAAUCCUAUAUCAAUAUAUAUGUAGAGCUAUCUCUUAAGCCAUAAGGCAUAGUAACUCACAUUGGCCUACCGCCGCCAAUUCUGGUAACCAAGUCAAGGAAGAAGCCGGGUAUAAAGUGGAAUAGUAUGGCCCCAAGACGGAACAGCAUAAGGCUCUUCACCAGACGCAAAUUGGGAUACCAGACGGCGCUGUUCAGCGGAUAGUCAUGCAAAUAGCUAUUGAUUUUGUCCUUCAGAAACUCGAAACGGAAUGGCUUAUAUGUGCUGGACGUCAAAUGGAAUAUCUGCAGCUCCGCUGGACGUCCUCCAUUCUUGGUUCUGCAAUGGAAACGGGUUGGUUAUCUGAAUAUACAUAACUUCUAGCAAUACCCACUUCAACGAAUUGACAUAAUAGCCCGUGGUUAUGAUGCCAUUGACCACCACAUCGAUGGGUAUAUAGUCCAUGAUGAUUGUAGGAUCCAAGGGCAGACGACGCAAGAUACCCUUGGAGGCGCCCAUGAAGAAGCCCUGGGGACCGUUCUUCGAUAUGGUCCACCCGGGUAUGGGCUCCUUCCAAGCAGCCGUGACUGCAAUGAAAUGAGUAUGAGAGAAAACCGGGACGGCAAACGGAUUUCACUUACUCAUGCUGGGGCGCACAAUGCCGCAGGGGAACUGCGAUGCCGCAUUGGCUACCUCGUGCUCCGCCAGAUGCUUGGUAAACGUUUAACGGAUUCAUAGGGACAACUCACUUGGGCUCCAGUUGCUUGAGCGCUUCAUCGUUAAGUGUCUCGGCCAGCUGAAUAAUCUUUUCUGGAUCGUCGGGCGAGGGAUAGAGUUUCUCUUCCACAUCAGUUAUAUAGGCAUUCACAUAUGCGCUGGACACGUGCACCAGUGCAUCCAAAUGGCGCAGUUGCUUGCACAGCUCGACGACGCGACGUGUUCCACGCAAAUUGAUGUUCGUCGUCUCCUUCAGCGAUUGGAAAAAGUCCAGCGUGGCAGCCGAGUGGAAGACCACGUUCACGUUGUCGAUCAGUGUCUCACGAUCCUUUGAAGAAAUGCCCAAAUGCUCGAGCCCAACAUCGCCUUCAAUAGGCACAAUCUUCGAGAGACGCGACUCCAGUUGCAGCUCCUUGAAACGAUCGAACACCGAGUUCUUCUUCAGCUCCUCCAGACGCUGCUCCACGCUCUUGCCCUUCUUGGCGCGCAUCAGCAGAUACAGGGUGCCCACAUUGGGCACAUCUCGCAGCAGCUUCUCCACAAUGGUCACGCCCACAAAGCCCGUGGCGCCUGUGAUGAAGACAUUGCGUCCCGCAUAGAAAUCUGUGAUGGGCGAGCUGCAUUGGUAACAUUUGAUUAGUGUCGAUUGAGUGGAAAUUUUAACAUAUAUUUAUAUAACUAAUGCAGCUCGUUUUAUUAACAGAUUCUCUUGCAUAACAAUCUUAACAAACUUUCCCUACGCUUCAAAUGCGAACAACAAAGGCAAAAUUAGCCGCACCAGCAGCAGCCGUAGCAGCCGCAGCAACUCCAAGGCGGAAUCGUACAAGUCUGUCGCAUUUCUCCGUAACGUAAUGCUCCAAUGUCCAAAGCACAAACCAGUUUUUUGUAUAUAUAUAUAUAUAUAUGUAUAUGUGAAUAUAUCGAUGUGUAUAUAUAGUGUGUGGGUUCUAACUGCUAUUUGUCGUCUGCAUAUUUAUCUAGUUAACUAAACUCAAACUGAGCUGCGGGAGUAUAAAAAUGGCAGAUCAAUGGUACUUGAAGCUGAGUGGAACAAGUCAAAGUAUUAAUUAAGCAAAAAUGUACUCAGAGAAUAUGAAACAUGAAAACGCUGUUGCAUUGAGUUAGUUAUAAAUGCAAAUUGUGCAGUCACGUAGUCGAAGUAGGAACAAGAGUAGCGUAAAUCAAUUAGUAUUUGUAUAAUUAACUCGUUUUAUGAUAUCGAUAUUAUAAUUGUAAUGCGAUCUAAAUAAGUUUGGCGAAAGUAUUCAUGUUAGACGCACCUAGCUAGACCCAACUAGUUGUUGGUUUUUGUAAAUAAUUGUAGCCCAGUUAUACAAUGUAUAUCAUGUAUAUACAUACAUUAUCUUAUAUUGCAUAGGCUUUAGCUAACUAUGCGAUCUGUAGAGCCAAGUUUUUGUUUUGACACACGCAAGCGCAAUUCGAAUUAGCCACUUUCGUUUUGGCCCUAAUGAUGGCAGCGUCUCCGACUCCUCUGUGGUUGCGUCUGGUCAUGGCAAAUGAUUUUAUAAUGAACAAUGCAAAUGAUGUGUGUGUGCGGUAUUUGUUUUUGUUGUUCGCUGAUUUUAUUGACUAACAAUUGACAAUUUAAUGUUCGAGCUGCGCAAUAUGUAUGAUUUACUCGAUCAAUUUGCAGACAGUUGAGCUCAAAGCUGAAGACGUUGCAGGUGCAGCUGCAACUGCGGUUGCAACUGCAACUGCCUCAAGCUGCUCAGUCAUUGGCAAAAGAGUUUUGAUGCCAUCGUCAGAUUUGGUGCCGAAUCUCUCGACUCUGGCUGUCAACUGAAUCAAGCUUUCACUUUGCCACUUUGCCCAUUAGCAGCAGGUGAGCCCCGUGGCUGGCAGCCACAGCUUCUAACGUGGCGAUAAUUCGGUAUAAAUUAAAUGGUUUUAUUUUUUCCCUUUGCGGCUUUUGGCAAUUUGCAAAUUUGAAUUUUGCAAUGUGUUAGCCAAUUUCCUACUGGGUCUUUGUAUUAUUCAUGUAUACGUCUUGUGUUGCGGAGGCUACAGUAAAUUGUCUUAUUAUCUUGACUAAAGCCAUGCAGUGAUUAGAUUUUACCUGAGGUUUCCCAAACGUGGCCAAGUGGAACAACACUUAUCGCGCGCAAUUAACUGCGCGGAUUUAUGGCAGCAAAUUAAAUGUUGAAUUUAUGCAAACAGGUUCUAGGAUCGGCUGUGAACUGUGAACUCUCUGGAUGUGCACGACCUUAUAACCAAGCAUCCGACGGCUAAUUGCAGUAUGAGGGCAUAAUUGCUAGUAAUGGAGUUUGUAGCUACAGCACUUCGCAAAGGAAUAGUUUUUGUGUUGGUUAUACCCUGGGUCCAUUGAAAAAGGGGAAUCAGGGUAUAAUGGUUUUGUGAAAAUGUAUGUAACAGAGAGAAGACGGCGUGAAAGAGCCCCUAAAAAAUAUAUACUUUAUCAGUGCGACGAACUGAGUUGACUUAGAUUGUUUGUUUAAUAAAAAAUAAAAUAAAUC
This is a long non-coding RNA of Drosophila mojavensis, 3743 nucleotides long. RefSeq lists it as uncharacterized. The record is from RefSeq and is a predicted model, not a curated record. NCBI's taxonomy places the organism in Eukaryota, Metazoa, Arthropoda, Insecta, Diptera, Drosophilidae. The transcript has 5 exons.